Molecule: non-coding RNA, 878 nt
Organism: Cinara cedri
Lineage: Eukaryota; Metazoa; Arthropoda; Insecta; Hemiptera; Aphididae
Source: the annotation of a GenBank genome assembly
GGUUACAAUUCAUUUUAUAAUUAGGAAUGAAAAAAAACAAAAACGCAUUAAUUGUAACAUGACGUGCGGGUACAGACGAAUCAAAGUAUGUGUACACCACUACGGGUCUGCACGUUUUUCUACCGUUUCUGCGCCGAUUUUAACCACUUUUUGUAAGACGAUUACCGUACUGCACUAUCGUUAAAAUCGCCGAGCAAAUCUCCGAACGAGGAAAAGAUCAAUACGGAUCGUAUGUAUACUGUGUAUACAUUUGACGGGCUAUUUGUUUUUUUUUUUUUAUACGAACCUACAGUUUUAUUACGAAUGUACAGUUGUCUGCUCUUUGUUCUCGAAUCAAAAAAGCAUUCCGAGCACAACCAGUAAACCGAUAAGGAUGAUGGAUUAUAGAAUUAUUGGUCGUGUUUUUUUUCCGUUGCGCCUAAGGUAAUCAGGAAAUCAAAGAAAACCGUUUAGAUUGUCAGUUUUGUUGAACGAAUUUUUUUUUUUUUUCUGGAAAAACUGUUGAGAAUUUAGAAAAAGAUUUCGAAUAAAAUACCACCGGGCGAAAACACCCCGUUUUAGGGAUUUCCGAAUUAAAAAAAAAAAAAACACGCACAUCUCAAAAGCUUUUUCGCUCUAGACUCCGAAUCUAAUAACAAAUGUUUUUUUUUCAUUGAUACGACCAUUAUUAGUUUGGUUUAUUUACAGCGCGUUUCGUCAACAAUACGUAUUCUCAAUUGUAUAUUGCGACCUUUUUUUUUUUUUUUUUCUCUCGCACGUAAAAAAACCGAACACUUUGUCGGUACCCAACGGACGUUUGCUUUGCGUAUUUCGGCGCGUCCGAUUGUAUUCGAGCGCACAAAGUCGCACGAGAACUCCGAUUACGAGUGUUCCGCGCG